Molecule: ribosomal RNA, 512 nt
Filed under: uncultured bacterium
Lineage: Bacteria
Description: partial 16S ribosomal RNA
Rfam family: Bacterial small subunit ribosomal RNA
Source: RNAcentral
GAUGAACGCUGGCGGCGUGCCUAAUACAUGCAAGUCGAACGAAACUUCUUUAUCACCGAGUGCUUGCACUCACCGAUAAAGAGUUGAGUGGCGAACGGGUGAGUAACACGUGGGCAACCUGCCCAAAAGAGGGGGAUAACACUUGGAAACAGGUGCUAAUACCGCAUAACCAUAGUUACCGCAUGGUAACUAUGUAAAAGGUGGCUAUACUACCGCUUUUGGAUGGGCCCGCGGCGCAUUACCUAGUUGGUAGGGUAAAGGCUUACCAAGGCAAUGAUGCGUAGCCGAAUUGAGAGGUUGAUCGGCCACAUUGGGGCUGAGACACGGCCCAAACUCCUACGGGAGGCAGCAGUAGGGAAUCUUCCACAAUGGGCGAAAGCCUGAUGGAGCAACGCCGCGUGGGUGAAGAAGGUCUUCGGAUCGUAAAACCCUGUUGUUAGAGAAGAAAGUGCGUGAGAGUAACUGUUCACGUUUCGACGGUAUCUAACCAGAAAGCCACGGCUAACUACGUG